This 1036-nucleotide long non-coding RNA is filed under the name Homo sapiens (human). RNAcentral's name for it is "long non-coding RNA NONHSAT157354.1". Lineage: Eukaryota; Metazoa; Chordata; Mammalia; Primates; Hominidae. The record is from RNAcentral.
GUUUUGGCUCCUCCUGCUUGGGUUUCCCAGCCAUCAAUCCACCCAGCUGGCACAGGAUUGACUCCUGGUGGAACCCAACUCAGUGAUCUGUGCAGUGUGGUGUUUUCCAAACUGGCCAAGGUGUCUGCAGGGCCCUCAGAAUUUUCCAAGCAAGAAAAGAUUUGGCUACUUGGAGAAACUUCAUCCUUCUGGAGGCAUCACCUCCAGAAUCUACUUGAAGUGGAUGACACUGACUUCCAUGAACUGUUUUCCGUUUGCUGAGGGUGAUGGCUUCCAACUCCAUCCAUGUCCCUGCAGAGGAGAUGAUCUCAUUCCUUUUUAUGGCUGUAUAGUAUUCCAUGGGUUGUCUGUUCACUCUGAUGAUGGUUCCGUUUGCUGUGUGGAAGCUCUUAAGUUGGAUUAAAUUCCAGUCGUCAAUUUCGUAGAAGUUACAGAUAUCAGCUCCUGGAUACAUCAUACUAAAGUCAAAGCCUGGAAAACCAAGAGAGCAACCCCUGACAACCUAGAGGAAUGUCCUGGAGAUUAAUGUGAAGAACUAGGAGAUUUCAAGCUGAAAAUCAUAAAAGAUAAGUAAAUGACCUGGACGUUCUGCACAUGUAUCCUGGAACUUAAAAUAAAAUUUAAACCAAAAAAAAACCUCUUGUCAAGCAAGGUUUAUGAUUCUUUUUGUGGAGCACUUCAUGCUGAUGACAUCUUGUCCAUUCAUUUAGGCAAUGAUGGAAAAUCUUAUUGAUGUGAAAAGUCACUGAACAGGGAAUUGGAAACCUGGAUUUGAAAAAAAUGUCUUCUUCUCAUUCAUAGUAUGAAGAGAUGUACAGAGGUAUUUGGUGGCAAAAAGAUGGAGGAGAGAAACCUUAAUUGAGUGGAACCAAAAAUGAAUUUGAAUAGAUAUGGAGUUGGGGAUGUCUUUCAAUAACCUGCAAACCUGAAUGUUGACAUGGAAUGUUAUUUGGUCAGGAAGUCUGGAUUAUGGAAAUGCAGAUUCUAUAAUAAAGCCUGGCUCUCCAUUCCAAGAUGGCUGAAUAGGAACAGAUCU